UCUUCUCAUUGCACCUAUGUCAAGUGAAUAAUUGAAAAUAUGUCAGCAUUGCCAGAGGAACUCUGCAGGAUUUUAAAGUCUAGUGGUGGAGGAUUGCAGCUACGACGCGGAAUAUAGCAUCCUAAAGUUGAAUUUUUCAGCUCUAUUGCUUUUAGGAUUGUUACUGAAGACUUACCUCAGGAGGUGCUGCACAGAGCAUGUAGAAGCAGUGGUAGUUCCUCU
This is a non-coding RNA of Camelina sativa (false flax), 222 nucleotides long. The record is from RefSeq and is a predicted model, not a curated record. NCBI's taxonomy places the organism in Eukaryota, Viridiplantae, Streptophyta, Magnoliopsida, Brassicales, Brassicaceae.